ACGUUUUUGAACAUUUUUCACAUGUGAAUGACUUUUUCAGAAUGAAACUUUCGUUGACUCAGAUUUUGAUUCUUGUCUUCUUGGUAUUGCUGUCCUUUCCAACAGCUGAAGGGCUGAUAUGUCAUCAGUGUUAUUCAGUUGGAAAGGACAAUAAAUGUCGCAAACCAUCCACCUGCAAUGGGUCUACAAAACAAUUUUGCUUCAUUCAAAGAAACUCCAAAGGAGGACACAUUAAAAGAAUAAGUCAAGGUUGCACCUCUUACUGUGUAGAUACUAUUCAGUUCAGCAAUGCCUAUAUAAGAUAUACCUUUUGCUGCA
Molecule: long non-coding RNA, 318 nt
Organism: Pantherophis guttatus
Lineage: Eukaryota; Metazoa; Chordata; Lepidosauria; Squamata; Colubridae
Source: RefSeq, a predicted model, not a curated record